UCUUUUAGUAUAAUUAAAGUAUGCUUGAUUUCCAAUCAGGUGGUUUAGAGAUUA
This 54-nucleotide transfer RNA is filed under the name Gnathostoma binucleatum. Its description in RNAcentral is "tRNA-Gly". Lineage: Eukaryota; Metazoa; Nematoda; Chromadorea; Rhabditida; Gnathostomatidae. The record is from RNAcentral.